CCUACGGGAUGCAGCAGUGAGGAAUAUUGGUCAAUGGGCGGAAGCCUGAACCAGCCAAGUCGCGUGAGGGAUUAAGGCCCUGCGGGUCGUAAACCUCUUUUGCCGGGGAGCAGAGGUCCGGACGUGUCCGGGCCGGGAGAGCACCCGGAGAAAAAGCAUCGGCUAACUCCGUGCCAGCAGCCGCGGUAAGACGGAGGAUGCGAGCGUUAUCCGGAUUUAUUGGGUGUAAAGGGUGCGUAGGCGGGCAUUUAAGCCGGCGGUCAAAUGUCGGGGCUCAACCCCGGCCUGCCGUCGGAACUGGGUGCCUUGAGUGGGCGAGAAGUAUGCGGAAUGCGUGGUGUAGCGGUGAAAUGCAUAGAUAUCACGCAGAACCCCGAUUGCGAAGGCAGCAUACCGGCGCCCUACUGACGCUGAGGCACGAAAGUGCGGGUAUCGAACAGGAUUAGAUACCCGAGUAGUC
Molecule: ribosomal RNA, 460 nt
Filed under: uncultured bacterium
Lineage: Bacteria
Description: partial 16S ribosomal RNA
Rfam family: Bacterial small subunit ribosomal RNA
Source: RNAcentral